CGCUGGAGGGUGAUCAUGGAGACCACUUGUACGGGCUUUAAUUACAAGUCUUCUGGCAGAAAACUUAGCUUUUCAAAGUGGGAAUCAUGCCAGCAAACAGAUAUUUGCUUCAAAGUGCUGAAUUCCCAGUAUUCGUUUUUGGUGGUUCUUGGAGUAUCCCUCGGUUCUCCGCAUCAGGCUGUGGGUAGUUUUGCCCUUUGGUUCCUGGUCUCACCUUCCCCCUGGCUUUUCAUUUUGACCUGGCAGCUGGGAGUGCUGGCAGUGGGCGGGGCCUGUGUCUAGCUCCACCCUGCUGACCGGUUUGCCCCUGGGCAAGUGUCCUGACUUGGGGGGGGGGGGUUCAUUCUCCUGUCUACAAAGCCGGGCAGGGGCGGGGCCUGGAGCUGUGUGAAGGCAGGAGGCUCAGGGGCCAAUCCCAAGCUCCUGGAGCCACAAGUUCUGAGUCUUAUCCUCCCUGUUCCAGUCUGAGUCUUCGCUUUCUGUUGGGCAUACUUUGGGAUGCUGCUUAUUUUAUUCUCUCUCAGAUGAAAAAACAAAACCCACCUCCUUCCCUGUCCACCUUUUGCCUUGCGGGUCCCUUCCAUGGGCUGUGGGUGUUGGGCUUCUCCCUCACCCUCCUGAGUGGCACGUCCCUCCCCGUAGCCUGGUCAUUCACAUGGUUCUCAUUAUUUCUCUGUGCCUCUAGGCACCUCUGAGGUGUGUUCUCCUGAGGGUUCUCCUUGUUGGCUUCCUCCUGAUUUCUUUCACCCAGAACAUGUUGAGAUGUUCCCAAGAAAACACUGAAAUUGACUGUAUAUGAAAGGGUGGGUUCGAGGUCCCUUUCUUGACAAAGGUCUUAGCAGUUUCUAUGUCUCUCUUCCAACCAGGUGUCUGUCUGCGUGGAUGGUGGGGAGGGGGCCCGGCUGUGAGCCCCAAAGUGCUUUAAAUAGAGAUAAAACCCGGGAGGCCAUGGGGAAGAUCCUCCUCUCAGACACUGGGGAGACACAGCCUUGGAAAUAGGAGACACCUUGCUUUGAACCCCUAAUGGGUGUUUUGGCUUCUUUUCUUUUUAAAAGAUCAUGUAUUUCAUUCCAGACUUGAAGACAUAUGUUUCCAUGUUGAACCCAGAACUGUUCAUGGAGAGCCAUCUUCGCUUCUUCUAGAUGGACGGUGCCAUUUGUUGAUUCUCCUGUCUUUUCCCCAUUGAUUUGAAAUAUCAUCUUUACCAGAUGCUAAAUAUGUAACCUAUAGAUCUGUUCCUGGAUUCUCUGUUCUGUUCCAUUGAUUUUCUACUCUGUGUUAGCACCAUGUGUCUUAAUCACCAUUGGAAAGCUGGGGCUUCUGAGCCAGAAUAUUCAUGGACACUAGUAUUCAGCAUUUUUUUUUUACAGGAAUAAAAGGGUAGUUGCAGAAUCCGUUGUUCCCACAAGCCAUCUGGUAUUCCCCAAUACUUGGAAAAAUGAUGGAAAACAGUCAGUUAACUUCUAUUUGAUCAUUUAAGAAAUCUUAAUGAUUUCCUAAUCAGACUGUCUCUAAGUCUUUGUGCUGAGAAGUAGAAUUCCAAAUGUUUAAUUCAUGAGGUGUUUGCUCCAUGGAGACCAGUUUAUUUUCAGGUCUGGGAAAACAAACCAAACUUGGGCAAAUUUUCUGUUAUUUCUUGGUUCCGGCAUAGAGUUUACACAUACUCUGUGCUGUGCAGCUCUGAAUUUACGGGUGAAGUUUGCAUGUUCUUCCAUCCUGGCCCUGAAGCCCCCCCUAGGAUGUGGAACUGGUACCUUAUAGCCACAAGGUUCAGUUGUCAUGGGUUCCCGGGUUGGAGAGGGGCCAGUCCCGCACCAUCAGCUGCCACCUGCAUGGCUCAGCUUUCUCGGUGCCUGGGAGCCAAGUCUCCCACCCAGAUUUAUCCUAAAGUGCGUCAGCAGCCCUACAAUGCUGCAGAGCAAGCAGAG
RNAcentral lists this long non-coding RNA (1928 nucleotides) under Marmota monax (woodchuck). Lineage: Eukaryota; Metazoa; Chordata; Mammalia; Rodentia; Sciuridae. The record is from RNAcentral.